This 369-nucleotide ribosomal RNA is filed under the name uncultured alga. Its description in RNAcentral is "bacterial LSU rRNA". It matches the Rfam family "Bacterial large subunit ribosomal RNA", at positions 2098 to 2465 of the family's 2925-position model. The record is from RNAcentral.
CCUUUACUGUAGCUUUGUAUUGGACUUUGAACAGAUCUGUGUAGGAUAGGUGGGAGGCUUUGAAGUGAGGGUCGCUAGAUCUCAUGGAGCCAACGUUGAAAUACCACCCUGGUGUGUUUGAGGUUCUAACCUAGGUCCAUUAUCUGGAUCGGGGACAGUGCAUGGUAGGCAGUUUGACUGGGGCGGUCUCCUCCCAAAGCGUAACGGAGGAGUUCGAAGGUACGCUAGGUACGGUCGGACAUCGUGACGAUAGUGCAAUGGCAUAAGCGUGCUUAACUGCGAGACUGACAAGUCGAGCAGAUGCGAAAGCAGGACAUAGUGAUCCGGUGGUUCUGUAUGGAAGGGCCAUCGCUCAACGGAUAAAAGGUA